AGAGUGAACGCUGGCGGUAGGCCUAACACAUGCAAGUCGAACGGCAGCACAGUGGUAGCAAUACCAUGGGUGGCGAGUGGCGGACGGGUGAGGAAUACAUCGGAAUCUACCUUUUCGUGGGGGGAUAACGUAGGGAAACUUACGCUAAUACCGCAUACGCCCUUCGGGGGAAAGCCGGGGAUCGCAAGACCUGGCGCGGAUAGAUGAGCCGAUGUCGGAUUAGCUAGUUGGUGAGGUAAUGGCUCACCAAGGCGACGAUCCGUAGCUGGUCUGAGAGGAUGAUCAGCCACACUGGAACUGAGACACGGUCCAGACUCCUACGGGAGGCAGCAGUGGGGAAUAUUGGACAAUGGGCGCAAGCCUGAUCCAGCCAUACCGCGUGGGUGAAGAAAGGCCGUUCGGUUGUAAAGUCCCGUUUUGUUAGGAAAGAAAAGACAAUACGUUAAGUACCCGUUGUUCUGACGGUAACCAAAGAAUAAGACACGCUAACUUCGUGUCAGCAGCCGCGUAAU
This 512-nucleotide ribosomal RNA is filed under the name uncultured soil bacterium. Its description in RNAcentral is "bacterial SSU rRNA". It matches the Rfam family "Bacterial small subunit ribosomal RNA", at positions 26 to 524 of the family's 1533-position model. The record is from RNAcentral.